RNAcentral lists this ribosomal RNA (1490 nucleotides) under uncultured prokaryote. RNAcentral's name for it is "partial 16S ribosomal RNA". It matches the Rfam family "Bacterial small subunit ribosomal RNA". The record is from RNAcentral.
GAGAGUUUGAUCCUGGCUCAGGAUGAACGCUAGCGGGAGGCUUAACACAUGCAAGUCGAGGGGCAGCAUUCACUUCGGUGAGAUGGCGACCGGCGCACGGGUGCGUAACGCGUAUGCAACCUACCUUUUACAGAAGGAUAGCCCGAAGAAAUUCGGAUUAAUACUUCAUAGCAUUGUUUGAAUGCAUAUUCGAACAAUUAAAGAUUUAUCGGUAAAAGAUGGGCAUGCGUGACAUUAGGUAGUUGGUAAGGUAACGGCUUACCAAGCCAUUGAUGUCUAGGGGUCCUGAGAGGGUGAUCCCCCACACUGGUACUGAGACACGGACCAGACUCCUACGGGAGGCAGCAGUGAGGAAUAUUGGUCAAUGGACGCAAGUCUGAACCAGCCAUCCCGCGUGAAGGAAGACGGCCUUAUGGGUUGUAAACUUCUUUUAUGUACCAAGAAAGAUAAGUACGUGUAUUUAUUUGACGGGUAGUAUAUGAAUAAGCAUCGGCUAACUCCGUGCCAGCAGCCGCGGUAAUACGGAGGAUGCGAGCGUUAUCCGGAUUUAUUGGGUUUAAAGGGUGUGUAGGCGGAUUUUUAAGUCAGUGGUGAAAUCUCUCGGCUCAACCGAGAAACUGCCAUUGAUACUGGAAGUCUUGAGUUUAGAUGAAGUAGGCGGAAUAUGUCAUGUAGCGGUGAAAUGCAUAGAUAUGACAUAGAACACCGAUAGCGAAGGCAGCUUACUAAUCUAUAACUGACGCUGAUGCACGAAAGCGUGGGUAGCGAACAGGAUUAGAUACCCUGGUAGUCCACGCCGUAAACGAUGUUCACUCGUUGUUGGCAAUACACCGUCAGCGACUAAGCGAAAGUGAUAAGUGAACCACCUGGGGAGUACGAUCGCAAGGUUGAAACUCAAAGGAAUUGACGGGGGCCCGCACAAGCGGAGGAGCAUGUGGUUUAAUUCGAUGAUACGCGAGGAACCUUACCUGGGCUUAAAUGUAUAUUGACAGUCAAAGAGAUUUGAUUUUCUUCGGACAAUUUACAAGGUGCUGCAUGGUUGUCGUCAGCUCGUGCCGUGAGGUGUCGGGUUAAGUCCCAUAACGAGCGCAACCCCUACCGUUAGUUGCCAUCAGGUCAAGCUGGGGACUCUAGCGGAACUGCCUGCGCAAGCAGAGAGGAAGGUGGGGAUGACGUCAAAUCAGCACGGCCCUUAUGUCCAGGGCUACACACGUGCUACAAUGGUCGGUACAGAGGGCAGCUACCUAGCAAUAGGAUGCAAAUCUCAAAAGCCGAUCUCAGUUCGGAUCGGAGUCUGCAACUCGACUCCGUGAAGUUGGAUUCGCUAGUAAUCGUAUAUCAGCAAUGAUACGGUGAAUACGUUCCCGGGCCUUGUACACACCGCCCGUCAAGCCAUGGAAGCCGAGGGUACCUGAAGUUCGUGACCGUAAGGAGCGACCUAGGGUAAAAUUGGUAACUGGGGCUAAGUCGUAACAAGGUAGCCGUCGUAG